GUGCGCUUCAGCAGCACAUAGACUAAAACUGGAGCGAUACAAAGAAGAUUAGCAUGGCCCCCGCACAAGGAUGACACGCAAAUUUGUGAAGCAUUCCAGUUUUUU
This is a small nuclear RNA of Cervus hanglu yarkandensis (Yarkand deer), 105 nucleotides long. The record is from Ensembl. Lineage: Eukaryota; Metazoa; Chordata; Mammalia; Artiodactyla; Cervidae.